This 396-nucleotide ribosomal RNA is filed under the name uncultured bacterium. RNAcentral describes it as "partial 16S ribosomal RNA". It matches the Rfam family "Bacterial small subunit ribosomal RNA", at positions 523 to 918 of the family's 1533-position model. The record is from RNAcentral.
AUACAGAGGGUGCAAGCGUUAAUCGGAUUUACUGGGCGUAAAGCGCGCGUAGGUGGCUAAUUAAGUCAAAUGUGAAAUCCCCGAGCUUAACUUGGGAAUUGCAUUCGAUACUGGUUAGCUAGAGUAUGGGAGAGGAUGGUAGAAUUCCAGGUGUAGCGGUGAAAUGCGUAGAGAUCUGGAGGAAUACCGAUGGCGAAGGCAGCCAUCUGGCCUAAUACUGACACUGAGGUGCGAAAGCAUGGGGAGCAAACAGGUUUAGAUACCCUGGUAGUCCAUGCCGUAAACGAUGUCUACUAGCCGUUGGGGCCCUUGAGGCUUUAGUGGCGCAGCUAACGCGAUAAGUAGACCGCCUGGGGAGUACGGUCGCAAGACUAAAACUCAAAUGAAUUGACGGGG